UUUUAUAGCUGCUGGGAGGUAAAACUCUAUAUUUAUAAAUACUUUUCUGGGUUGCGAUUGGAGAGCUCAGAAGCAAAUUAAUGAUAGUGUAGUGCACCUAUCAUAGAUGAAUUCACAAGCAUGUUUUCCAGGCGCUCUACUGAUUGUUUGCGUAUUACUUUCACAUGUUUUCAUUUUCAUUCAUCCAUUUAGAAGUGUAACAAUAUUUGCCAUUAGUAGACCUAGAUGUUAUGAUCAUGACAUUUCCUAUAAUAAUAACAGUCCAAAUGGUUUGGAUAGAAAAGAAGAGAAAGAGAUGGGUCAAUCUACUGUGCCAUCAACGGGUUGGAAUUAGAAUUGACCAUUGAUGGUUUGUGAAUAAUGUUGAUUGAUAUGGCUGCAUUAUUAAUAUUCAGUGGUUGCAACUAUAGUAAUCUUGCUCUGCCUUUGGACGCAGGUCGUGAACAAGUGUUACUGUCCUGAUUUUGAUUAACAAUUUUGGUUCGAGGAAGGUGGAGAAUGGAUCUUUGACUUGGUCUUUAGCAGAAGUUCUGGUUAAUGAGAUGAUGUCCUCCCUCUACAACUUACCCUCCUCCAGUUUUGUUUGUUCUUUUUUCAGUGCGAGUUGUUUAAGAGCACAUAUUUGUAAGGCAAUAAAAAGCCUGUUUUACCUAUUUUUGCCUCCAGUAUCUUGCACUACGUAUUACAGUAAUGAUUUAAGCAAUAAAAUCUCAAUCUUGUUUGUAUAGUGGCUCUUUUUUUUCUUUUUUUCCUCAAAUCAUUUGAGUUAUUUUCUUUUGAGUCCUGGAUGCUUUGUUUUUCAUGCUUCUUUUUCAGUGUUUGAAGUAAGCUUCAUCUGCUGGAUAAUGGUGGCUUUUGUCAGAACUGAAGAUUUAUAACAGGUUGCAUAUCUAAAUCAAAAUAUGACAAUACAGAAAAAUAAAGUGGCCGUUGCAUUGGAGAAUCUUUACUUGUGAUUUCUCCUAUCGGUUAUGA
This 975-nucleotide long non-coding RNA is filed under the name Fragaria vesca (wild strawberry). RNAcentral's name for it is "long non-coding RNA (FVES_LNC001851)". The record is from RNAcentral. Lineage: Eukaryota; Viridiplantae; Streptophyta; Magnoliopsida; Rosales; Rosaceae.